CCUACGGGGGGCUGCAGUAAGGAAUCUUCCACAAUGGGGGCAACCCUGAUGGAGCAACACCGCGUGAAGGAUGAAGGCCCUCGGGUCGUAAACUUCUUUUAUAAGUGAGGAAUAUGACGGUAACUUAUGAAUAAGGGUCGGCUAACUACGUGCCAGCAGCCGCGGUCAUACGUAGGACCCAAGCGUUAUCCGGAGUGACUGGGCGUAAAGAGUUGCGUAGGCGGUCGUAUAAGCGAAUAGUGAAAUCUGGUGGCUCAACCAUCAACCCAUUGUUCGAACUGUACGACUCGAGAAUGGUAGAGGUAACUGGAAUUUCGUGUGUAGGAGUGAAAUCCGUAGAUAUACGAAGGAACACCAAUGGCGUAGGCAGGUUACUGGACCAUUUCUGACGCUGAGGCACGAAAGCGUGGGGAGCGAACCGGCUUAGAUACCCCGGUAGUC
Molecule: ribosomal RNA, 441 nt
Filed under: uncultured bacterium
Lineage: Bacteria
Description: bacterial SSU rRNA
Rfam family: Bacterial small subunit ribosomal RNA
Source: RNAcentral